Molecule: ribosomal RNA, 492 nt
Filed under: uncultured bacterium
Lineage: Bacteria
Description: partial 16S ribosomal RNA
Rfam family: Bacterial small subunit ribosomal RNA
Source: RNAcentral
AGUGAACGCUGGCGGUAGGCCUAACACAUGCAAGUCGAACGGCAGCACAGUAAGAUCUUGCUCUUACGGGUGGCGAGUGGCGGACGGGUGAGGAAUACAUCGGAAUCUACUUUUUCGUGGGGGAUAACGUAGGGAAACUUACGCUAAUACCGUAUACGACCUACGGGUGAAAGCAGUGGAUCUUCGGACCUUGCGCGAUUGAAUUAGCCGAUGUCGGAUUAGCUAGUUGGCGGGGUAAAGGCCCACCAAGGCGACGAUCCGUAGCUGGUCUGAGAGGAUGAUCAGCCACACUGGAACUGAGACACGGUCCAGACUCCUACGGGAGGCAGCAGUGGGGAAUCUUCGACAAUGGGCGAAAGCCUGAUCCAGCAAUACCGCGUGAGUGAAGAAGGCCUUCGGGUUGUAAAGCCCUUUUGUUGGGAAAGAAAAGCAGCAGGUUAAUACCCCGCUGUUCUGACGGUACCCAAAGAAUAAGCACCGGCUAACUUCGUG